UCAAAUUUAAUAAACUUCAACGCAACUCCAUAAUAAUGAGUGUUAUUUCUAGACUUACCACUUGUAGACAAAUUGUUUCAAUCUGAACGUUUGUCAUAUGAACAUUAUGGAUCCAUUGUUUCGCUUCUGCUAUCUCAGGCGUUCCUUCAAAUCUUUUCACAUACGCCGUCACCAACCUUCCCUGAGCAUCACACACACACGCUCCAACACAAUAUACAUUCUGAUUCGCAUAGCA
RNAcentral lists this long non-coding RNA (235 nucleotides) under Trifolium pratense (red clover). RNAcentral's name for it is "long non-coding RNA (TPRA_LNC013284)". Lineage: Eukaryota; Viridiplantae; Streptophyta; Magnoliopsida; Fabales; Fabaceae. The record is from RNAcentral.